This 383-nucleotide unclassified non-coding RNA is filed under the name Metazoa environmental sample. RNAcentral describes it as "sequence contains 5.8S rRNA gene, ITS2, 28S rRNA gene". The stretch from base 1 to 52 matches the Rfam family "5.8S ribosomal RNA", at positions 103 to 154 of the family's 154-position model. The record is from RNAcentral. Lineage: Eukaryota; Metazoa.
AACGCAAAUUGCACUGUUGGGUCCUCCCAGCAGUAUGUCUGUUUGAGUGUCAGCACUUUCCUUAGUAAUCAUCACCAUUUAUUUUAAUGGUGGAUUGAAUAUUGACACUUUAUGAUAAAAUAAUCAUCAUAAUGUGUUUAAGUAAAUUGAUUUUUUUUCUCUCUUUUUCAAUUAAUGGAAGCACACUUUUUUAACAUGUAAUAAUAGAUUAACCAUUGCUUACAUGCACAUUUUAAGCAAUAGCAAGGUGUUCUAUUAUUAUAAUUGUGUUGCACCCAAGAAAGAAAAAAAGAGAAUUACUAAAGAAAGUCAUCAACAAAAUUACUACAACAAAAUUUUAACAUCUUGACCUCAAAUUAGGCAAGGCUACCCGCUGAAUUUAA